This 253-nucleotide ribosomal RNA is filed under the name uncultured bacterium. Its description in RNAcentral is "partial 16S ribosomal RNA". It matches the Rfam family "Bacterial small subunit ribosomal RNA", at positions 524 to 776 of the family's 1533-position model. The record is from RNAcentral.
UACGUAGGUGACCAGCGUUGUCCGGAUUUACUGGGCGUAAAGAGCGCGCAGGCGGUCGUUCAAGUCGAGUGUGAAAGCCCCCGGCUCAACCGGGGAACGGGCGCCGAUACGAGUGAUCUGGAGGCGGGUAGGGGGAGCCGGAACUGCCGGUGGAGCGGUGAAAUGCGUUGAGAUCGGCAGGAACGCCCGUGGCGAAAGCGGGCUCCUGGACCUCGCCUGACGCUGAGACGCGAAAGCCAGGGGAGCGAACGGG